AAAUUGAAUAUUAUACAAUUACUGUCUUUUGAUGAGGUAAAUAUGCGGUUUUACUGACUUUUGAAAAAAUGAUAUUCAUUGAGGCCGACGGCCGAAGUGAAUAUCAGUUUUUCAAAAGUCAAUAAAACCCCAAAUUUACCGAAACAAAAGACAGUAAUUGUUUUAUUCCAUAUUCCGAGAAAAGAAAAUGUAUUUAAUGACAAACAUAUACCAAAACAAAUUUUUACACGAAACAUUUUACCAUAACGUUGCAUGUAAAAGCGCGUGACGUUUAGCGCGG
This 280-nucleotide long non-coding RNA is filed under the name Mytilus galloprovincialis (Mediterranean mussel). Lineage: Eukaryota; Metazoa; Mollusca; Bivalvia; Mytilida; Mytilidae. The record is from RNAcentral.